UGCAACGCGAAAAACCUUACCUACCUUUGACAUGUACGGAAUUCGCCAGAGAUGGCUUAGUGCUCGAAAGAGAACCGUAACACAGGUGCUGCAUGGCUGUCGUCAGCUCGUGUCGUGAGAUGUUGGGUUAAGUCCCGCAACGAGCGCAACCCUUGUCAUUAGUUGCUACAUUUAGUUGGGCACUCUAAUGAGACUGCCGGUGACAAACCGGAGGAAGGUGGGGAUGACGUCAAGUCCUCAUGGCCCUUAUAGGUAGGGCUACACACGUCAUACAAUGGAUGGUACAAAGGGUCGCCAACCCGCGAGGGGGAGCCAAUCCCAUAAAACCAUUCGUAGUCCGGAUCGC
RNAcentral lists this ribosomal RNA (346 nucleotides) under unidentified activated sludge bacterium AI372. RNAcentral's name for it is "bacterial SSU rRNA". It matches the Rfam family "Bacterial small subunit ribosomal RNA", at positions 955 to 1301 of the family's 1533-position model. The record is from RNAcentral.